ACCUGCGGAGGGAUCAUUAUAGAGUUACAAACUAUGCUCGAGAUGCUCGUAUUAGAUCGUUGCCUCGGCGGGACGAACUACCCGGUAGCAAUCAGACGGCCUACCCUGUAGGUGCUGACCUGACCUACCCUGUAGUGAAAUCUUUCCGCCAGAGGACCUAUGCUCGUAGUGAGCUCGUAGGAUUCUGAGAAACUAUACAAAUAAGUUAAAACUUUCAACAACGGAUCUCUUGGUUCUGGCAUCGAUGAAGAACGCAGCGAAAUGCGAUAAGUAAUGUGAAUUGCAGAAUUCAGUGAAUGCUCGUAGUAGUCGCCGCACAUUGCGCCCAUUAGUAUUCUAGUGGGCAUGCCUGUUCGAGCGUCAUUUCGACCAUUAAGCCUAGCUGCUUAGCGUUGGAUGCCUGUAGAUGCUCGCUCCCUAAAAAUGCUCGUAGAUGCUCGUGAGACUCUAAGCGUAGUAAUUUUUUUCUCGCUUUUGUAGCUGUCCUCUCUCCCGCCGUAAAACCUUAUAUUUUUAAGUGGUUGACCUAUCGUCCGUGAUAGCUACCCGCUGAACUUAAGCAUAUAUGCUCGUAGCGUAGAUGCUCGUAGUAGUCGC
Molecule: ribosomal RNA, 597 nt
Filed under: uncultured fungus
Lineage: Eukaryota; Fungi
Description: eukaryotic LSU rRNA
Rfam family: 5.8S ribosomal RNA (bases 210-363)
Source: RNAcentral